CAGGAUGAACGCUGGCGGCGUGCCUAACACAUGCAAGUCGAGCGAUCCUCUUCGGAGAAGAGCGGCGGACGGGUGAGUAACGCGUGGGUAACCUGCCCUGUACACACGGAUAACAUACCGAAAGGUAUGCUAAUACGGGAUAAUAUAUAAGAGUCGCAUGACUUUUAUAUCAAAGAUUUUUCGGUACAGGAUGGACCCGCGUCUGAUUAGCUUGUUGGCGGGGUAACGGCCCACCAAGGCGACGAUCAGUAGCCGACCUGAGAGGGUGAUCGGCCACAUUGGAACUGAGACACGGUCCAAACUCCUACGGGAGGCAGCAGUGGGGAAUAUUGCACAAUGGGCGCAAGCCUGAUGCAGCAACGCCGCGUGAGCGAUGAAGGCCUUCGGGUCGUAAAGCUCUGUCCCCAAGGAAGAUAAUGACGGUACUUGAGGAGGAAGCCCCGGCUAACUACGUGCCAGCAGCCGCGGUAAUACGUAGGGGGCUAGCGUUAUCCGGAUUUACUGGGCGUAAAGGGUGCGUAGGCGGUCUUUCAAGUCAGGAGUUAAAGGCUACGGCUCAACCGUAGUAAGCUCCUGAUACUGUCUGACUUGAGUGCAGGAGAGGAAAGCGGAAUUUCCAGUGUAGCGGUGAAAUGCGUAGAUAUUGGGAGGAACACCAGUAGCGAAGGCGGCUUUCUGGACUGUAACUGACGUUGAGGCACGAAAGCGUGGGGAGCAAACAGGAUUAGAUACCCUGGUAGUCCACGCUGUAAACGAUGAGUACUAGGUGUCGGAAGUUACCCCCUUCCGGGCCGCACCUAAC
Molecule: ribosomal RNA, 802 nt
Filed under: uncultured bacterium
Lineage: Bacteria
Description: bacterial SSU rRNA
Rfam family: Bacterial small subunit ribosomal RNA
Source: RNAcentral